This is a long non-coding RNA of Nannospalax galili (Upper Galilee mountains blind mole rat), 731 nucleotides long. RefSeq lists it as uncharacterized. NCBI's taxonomy places the organism in Eukaryota, Metazoa, Chordata, Mammalia, Rodentia, Spalacidae. The record is from RefSeq and is a predicted model, not a curated record. The transcript has 3 exons.
AGAUCCUUCCCUACUCGGCACCGCCAGACCAGUGAGGUGGGCCGAGAGGCCGAGGAGGUGCUGAGGGGACCUCGGAGAGCAGUCGCCCCUACCUGGGCCUAGGUGUCUGUGUUCGCUGCAGGUGCACACCGCUGUGGUCCCCAAUGGGGCCCUGGAGAGGGCAGUGCAAUAGCCUAACGACUGGAGAGGACUUCUUAAAGACAUCUAGCUACCUGCAGGCCAGGUUGAGGAGAGAGACUGUCCACACUCCAGUGACCGCAGGAAGGGAGAGCUCGCCGGCUGGUCACACACCCUAGCUUCUCCUUUCCAAGGGCAAAUGGGCUGCGUCAACAGCUGACACAUCCGCUGCCUUCAGAACAGAAAACCAGUCUAGAGUUUCAGGCUUAUCUCCUGCAUUGCAUUCCCAGAUGGGUAGGCUUUGCCAGACCCUUGAAAGGCCUCUUACUGAGGGAGAGGUCUGUGUGACAACGUCAUGAGCAAUCUACUGCCGGGAGGUCUUCAUCAGAUAAACAGGGCUGCAAAAUUCAGGGCCAAGGAAUGUGGGCUGGAGAGGCACUCCCAGCGCCAGCUGCUACCUGAACACCCUGCGCUGGCGGGGACCCAGGGGGACAAGCUCAAACCAGGAUCCUCAGCGACCAAAGGCAACAGCGAAGCACUUAAUCCUGAAAUAAAGAGUAAUUGCUUCUGGCUUCAAGAAUAAAGGAAAAACAGGAUCAGCCUUGGCUAAAUUA